GAGAGGUGCAAGCGUUAUUYGGAAUUACUGGGCGUAAAGGGUGCGUAGACGGUUCAUUAAGUCUUUUGUUUAAGACCCCGGCCUAACUGGGGACCAGCAGAAGAAACUGAUAGACUAGAGGAUGGAAGAGAGAAGCGGAAUUCUCGGAGUAGCGGUUAAAUGCGUAGAUCUCGAGAGGAACACCGAUGGCGAAAGCAGCUUCUUGGUCCAUAUCUGACGUUGAGGCACGAAAGCGUGGGGAGCAAACAGGAUUAGAUACCCUGGUAGUCCACGCUGUAAACGAUGAUCACUAGACGUCGGUUUUGCGUUGCAAAAUCGGUGUCGUAGCUAACGCGAUAAGUGAUCCGCCUGGGGAGUACGGUCGCAAGACUA
This 372-nucleotide ribosomal RNA is filed under the name uncultured bacterium. RNAcentral describes it as "bacterial SSU rRNA". It matches the Rfam family "Bacterial small subunit ribosomal RNA", at positions 527 to 896 of the family's 1533-position model. The record is from RNAcentral.